Molecule: transfer RNA, 73 nt
Filed under: Deltaproteobacteria bacterium
Lineage: Bacteria; Pseudomonadati; Myxococcota; Myxococcia
Description: tRNA-Trp
Rfam family: tRNA
About the family: Transfer RNA (tRNA) molecules are approximately 80 nucleotides in length.
Source: RNAcentral
AGGUCGGUAGCUCAGCUGGUAGAGCGGCGGUCUCCAAAACCGUAGGUCACAGGUUCGAUCCCUGUCCGGCCUG